AAAGUUGAAAUAAAAUAUUAUAUUCAGUUUCGACCUGAAAUUUAAGUUACUAAGUUAACUCUUCUUUA
This 68-nucleotide transfer RNA is filed under the name Neodiprion huizeensis. RNAcentral describes it as "tRNA-Arg". The record is from RNAcentral. Lineage: Eukaryota; Metazoa; Arthropoda; Insecta; Hymenoptera; Diprionidae.